CGAAAAUAAAACAAAUAUGUUUCCAUAGGGAUGUAAAUUACGCCGUUUUUACAUUUUUAAUAAUUAUCUGUAAACAUUUUUUUUUGAAAAAACCGUUUAAAAGAUUUAUUAAUACAACAAUAAUUACUAAUAUAAAAUGCGUUCAAAAUAAUUAUAAGUUAUAUUUAAAGACGCGGUUAGCGACCGCUGUAGUUGAUGUCUUCCAAUUAUUAUAUAAUAUGUAUUCAGUACGUACGUACAGAAUAUGUGUAAUUGAUAUUGUGAUAAAAAAAAAAAAAAACCAAUAAAAUUGUCUUCCAGGUCUUGUGUACCGAUAUUAUUACCAUAUUCAAUUAAUUCUGGAAAUUAAAAUAUAUUUUUACUAAUAUAUAAUAUUAACGACAAGAAUGUUCGGUCAAUAUUAUGUUUGAGAAAAAAAAAAAUACAAAUAUAUAUAACGAACAGAAAAAAUUGUAUCGUAAAUAAUAAUAAUAUUAUAUAAAAUUAUUAAAAAUUUUAUCG
Non-coding RNA from Cinara cedri, 501 nucleotides. The record is from the annotation of a GenBank genome assembly. Lineage: Eukaryota; Metazoa; Arthropoda; Insecta; Hemiptera; Aphididae.